UUUAUUGUUAUUAUAACACGUAGGUAUGUUCAACAUUCAUAAUGAUGAUGGUCGAGUUUAUUCGAGUAAGGUGUUUAGGUGUACCUGGUAGCUAGGAUUCAGCCAUUAUAGAGUAAACUGGUUAAAUCAUGAUGGUCAGUCAAAAACCAACGAUGGUAUACCGCCUACGACAUAUAUUUUCCCAAUGCUGUUUCUAACCCAUCUGAAUAUCAUCACGUUCAAUAUGGAAGACUAAAUCAUUUUUUCUGUUACAUAACGUGAGUUCAGACGCAUACACACA
Long non-coding RNA from Melanaphis sacchari, 280 nucleotides. RefSeq lists it as uncharacterized. The record is from RefSeq and is a predicted model, not a curated record. NCBI's taxonomy places the organism in Eukaryota, Metazoa, Arthropoda, Insecta, Hemiptera, Aphididae. The transcript has 2 exons.